AUGGCCUUAACAUUUCUGAGAAGCUCUGGUCUGAAUCAGAGACAUGUAUGGCCUAACUACGUAAGUUUAUUUAGUAACUCAAUUGUUUUGACUAGGGUUGAUAGAGAAACGUGUGCAGUAACCUACCAAAAUAGAUUUUGUUAUUUGGCAACAAAAAAAAAAAUAGAUUUUGUUGUAUUACUCUGUAUACCAAAACUGAUUUCAAUCCGUCUUUGUGGAAUUUAACCUGAUUAUAUGUACAAUUUUAGAAACGUAUAGGA
Molecule: long non-coding RNA, 260 nt
Organism: Arabidopsis thaliana (thale cress)
Lineage: Eukaryota; Viridiplantae; Streptophyta; Magnoliopsida; Brassicales; Brassicaceae
Product: other RNA
Exons: 1
Source: RefSeq